UACGUAGGGGGCUAGCGUUGUCCGGAUUUAUUGGGGGUAAAGGGUGCGUAGGCGGCGCGGUAAGUCGGGUGUGAAAUCUCGGAGCUUAACUCCGAAACUGCAUUCGAUACUGCCGUGCUUGAGGACUGGAGAGGAGACUGGAAUUUACGGUGUAGCGGUGAAAUGCGUAGAUAUCGUAAGGAAGACCAGUGGCGAAGGCGGGUCUCUGGACAGUUCCUGACGCUGAGGCACGAAGGCCAGGGGAGCAAACGGG
RNAcentral lists this ribosomal RNA (253 nucleotides) under uncultured bacterium. Its description in RNAcentral is "partial 16S ribosomal RNA". It matches the Rfam family "Bacterial small subunit ribosomal RNA", at positions 524 to 776 of the family's 1533-position model. The record is from RNAcentral.